RNAcentral lists this transfer RNA (75 nucleotides) under Thermofilum pendens. RNAcentral describes it as "tRNA-Leu". It matches the Rfam family "tRNA". From Rfam's summary of the family: Transfer RNA (tRNA) molecules are approximately 80 nucleotides in length. Their secondary structure includes four short double-helical elements and three loops (D, anti-codon, and T loops). The record is from RNAcentral. Lineage: Archaea; Thermoproteati; Thermoproteota; Thermoprotei; Thermofilales; Thermofilaceae. RNAcentral also lists the same sequence under 1 other name.
GGGCCGGUAGCUCAGCAAGGUAGAGCGGCGGUCGAGACCCGUAGGUCGGGGGUUCAAGUCCCUCCCGGCCCACCA